UGGGGAAUAUUGGACAAUGGGCGAAAGCCUGAUCCAGCCAAGCCGCGUGUGUGAAGAAGGUCUUCGGAUUGUAAAGCACUUUAAGUUGGGAGGAAGGGCAUUAACCUAAUACGUUAGUGUUUUGACGUUACUGACAGAAUAAGCACCGGCUAACUCUGUGCCAGCAGCCGCGGUAAUACAGAGGGUGCAAGCGUUAAUCGGAAUUACUGGGCGUAAAGCGCGCGUAGGUGGUUUGUUAAGUUGGAUGUGAAAUCCCCGGGCUCAACCUGGGAACUGCAUUCAAAACUGACUGACUAGAGUAUGGUAGAGGGUGGUGGAAUUUCCUGUGUAGCGGUGAAAUGCGUAGAUAUAGGAAGGAACACCAGUGGCGAAGGCGACCACCUGGACUAAUACUGACACUGAGGUGCGAAAGCGUGGGGAGCAAACA
This 427-nucleotide ribosomal RNA is filed under the name uncultured bacterium. RNAcentral describes it as "partial 16S ribosomal RNA". It matches the Rfam family "Bacterial small subunit ribosomal RNA", at positions 355 to 774 of the family's 1533-position model. The record is from RNAcentral.